RNAcentral lists this ribosomal RNA (401 nucleotides) under uncultured organism. RNAcentral describes it as "bacterial SSU rRNA". It matches the Rfam family "Bacterial small subunit ribosomal RNA", at positions 45 to 433 of the family's 1533-position model. The record is from RNAcentral.
UGCCUAAUACAUGCAAGUCGAGCGACCCCCCUUAAGAGCUUGCUCUUAUGAAGUUAGCGGCGGACGGGUGAGUAACACGUGGGUAACCUACCCAUAAGACUGGGAUAACUCCGGGAAACCGGGGCUAAUACCGGAUAAUAUUUUGAACUGCAUAGUUCGAAAUUGAAAGGCGGCUUCGGCUGUCACUUAUGGAUGGACCCGCGUCGCAUUAGCUAGUUGGUGAGGUAACGGCUCACCAAGGCGACGAUGCGUAGCCGACCUGAGAGGGUGAUCGGCCACACUGGGACUGAGACACGGCCCAGACUCCUACGGGAGGCAGCAGUAGGGAAUCUUCCGCAAUGGACGAAAGUCUGACGGAGCAACGCCGCGUGAGUGAUGAAGGCUUUCGGGUCGUAAAACUC